AUUUGUUGUUCAAAAAUAUUUCAGCUAUAUUUGUUGAAUUUUUAAUGAAUUCUGUUUAUGAAAGGGAAUUGAAAGAUAUAUAUAUAUAUUGAUUUAUAAAUUUAUGUUUGGAAAUUUUUGAAGUUUAUAUUGUUAUUUCAUAUUUUUACAACUGUAUUUAUUUGUUACAUUGUUUUGUGAAACUGCAGUUUCAUUUUGAGUAGUUAAGCCACAUUUUAUGGUAUUGUUUUUAUUCCUUUGGAAAUAUUUAGAUAAAUUUAUGGUUAAAAAUGGUGUCAUGGGAAAGUAUAUCCUCUAUAUUUCAAAAAUAAUAUUGAAAACACGUCUGAAUUCUGGCCUACCAUAUAAACAUACACACUAAAAAUUCUUUUUCUUUAUUAAUGGUACCAGGUUAUCACAGAAAAGAUCAUUUAUCAUUAUUUUUCAUACCUGCAUACAAAGCAUGUAACCAGUUAAAGCAAACAAUCUGCAAAAACAACACACAAGUGCUUUUCUAUAAAAAAAUAAUGAGAAACACUUGUAUGUAAUAAAUAUUAGCAUUCUUAAAAUAGUAUAUCCAGUUUGCAGAUUUUUUAAAGAGGGUAUUCAAAAUAUUUUAAA
Molecule: long non-coding RNA, 600 nt
Filed under: Mytilus galloprovincialis (Mediterranean mussel)
Lineage: Eukaryota; Metazoa; Mollusca; Bivalvia; Mytilida; Mytilidae
Source: RNAcentral